AAACCGAAGAGUUUACUCUUCGGGGUUGUAGGACUGCAAUGUGGACUCAAAGAUUAUAGAAGAAUGAUUUGGGAAGAUCAGCCAAAGAGAGUAAUAGCCUCGUAUUUAAAAUAGUCUUUGUACUUAGCAGUAUCCUGAGUACGGCGGGACACGUGAAAUCCCGUCGGAAUCUGGGAGGACCAUCUCCCAACCCUAAAUACUCCCUAGUGACCGAUAGUGAACCAGUACCGUGAGGGAAAGGUGAAAAGCACCCCGGGAGGGGAGUGAAAUAGAACCUGAAACCGUGUGCCUACAACAAGUUCGAGCCCGUUAAUGGGUGAGAGCGUGCCUUUUGUAGAAUGAACCGGCGAGUUACGUUAUGAUGCGAGGUUAAGUUGAAGAGACGGAGCCGUAGGGAAACCGAGUCUGAAUAGGGCGCCUUAGUAUCAUGACGUAGACCCGAAACCAUGUGACCUACCCAUGAGCAGGUUGAAGGUGCGGUAAGACGCACUGGAGGACCGAACCAGGGCACGUUGAAAAGUGCUUGGAUGACUUGUGGGUAGCGGAGAAAUUCCAAACGAACUUGGAGAUAGCUGGUUCUCUCCGAAAUAGCUUUAGGGCUAGCGUCGACAUUAGAGAUUCUUGGAGGUAGAGCACUGUUUGGGUGAGGGGUCCAUCCCGGAUUACCAAUCUCAGAUAAACUCCGAAUGCCAAUGAAUUAUGGUCGGCAGUCAGACUGCGAGUGCUAAGAUCCGUAGUCGAAAGGGAAACAGCCCAGACCACCAGCUAAGGUCCCAAAAUAAUUGUUAAGUGGAAAAGGAUGUGGGGUUGCACAGACAACUAGGAUGUUAGCUUAGAAGCAGCUAUUCAUUCAAAGAGUGCGUAAUAGCUCACUAGUCGAGUGACCCUGCGCCGAAAAUGUACCGGGGCUAAAACAAUUUACCGAAGCUGUGGAUACCUUUAUAGGUAUGGUAGGAGAGCGUUCUAUGUGUGAUGAAGGUAUACCGUGAGGAGUGCUGGAACGCAUAGAAGUGAGAAUGCCGGUAUGAGUAGCGAAAGACAGGUGAGAAUCCUGUCCACCGUAAGACUAAGGUUUCCAGGGGAAGGCUCGUCCGCCCUGGGUUAGUCGGGACCUAAGGAGAGACCGAAAGGUGUAUCCGAUGGACAACAGGUUGAUAUUCCUGUACUAGAGUAUGUAGUGAUGGAGGGACGCAGUAGGCUAACUAAAGCAGACGAUUGGAAGAGUCUGUCUAAGCAGUGAGGUGUGAAUUGAGUCAAAUGCUUAAUUCUAUAACAUUGAGCUGUGAUGGGGAGCGAAGUUUAGUAGCGAAGUUAGUGACGUCACACUGCCAAGAAAAGCUUCUAGCGUUUAAACAUACUCUACCCGUACCGCAAACCGACACAGGUAGUCGAGGCGAGUAGCCUCAGGUGAGCGAGAGAACUCUCGUUAAGGAACUCGGCAAAAUGACCCCGUAACUUCGGGAGAAGGGGUGCUGACUUAAAGUCAGCCGCAGUGAAUAGGCCCAAGCAACUGUUUAUCAAAAACACAGCUCUCUGCUAAAUCGUAAGAUGAUGUAUAGGGGGUGACGCCUGCCCGGUGCUGGAAGGUUAAGAGGAGUGCUUAGCGUAAGCGAAGGUAUGAAUUGAAGCCCCAGUAAACGGCGGCCGUAACUAUAACGGUCCUAAGGUAGCGAAAUUCCUUGUCGGGUAAGUUCCGACCCGCACGAAAGGCGUAAUGAUUUGGGCACUGUCUCAACGAGAGACUCGGUGAAAUUUUAGUACCUGUGAAGAUGCAGGUUACCCGCGACAGGACGGAAAGACCCCAUGGAGCUUUACUGCAGUUUGAUAUUGAGUGUCUGUACCACAUGUACAGGAUAGGUAGGAGUCUAAGAGAUCGGGACGCCAGUUUCGAAGGAGACGCUGUUGGGAUACUACCCUUGUGUUAUGGCCACUCUAACCCAGAUAGGUGAUCCCUAUCGGAGACAGUGUCUGACGGGCAGUUUGACUGGGGCGGUCGCCUCCUAAAAGGUAACGGAGGCGCCCAAAGGUUCCCUCAGAAUGGUUGGAAAUCAUUCGCAGAGUGUAAAGGUAUAAGGGAGCUUGACUGCGAGAGCUACAACUCGAGCAGGGACGAAAGUCGGGCUUAGUGAUCCGGUGGUUCCGUAUGGAAGGGCCAUCGCUCAACGGAUAAAAGCUACCCUGGGGAUAACAGGCUUAUCUCCCCCAAGAGUUCACAUCGACGGGGAGGUUUGGCACCUCGAUGUCGGCUCGUCGCAUCCUGGGGCUGUAGUCGGUCCCAAGGGUUGGGCUGUUCGCCCAUUAAAGCGGCACGCGAGCUGGGUUCAGAACGUCGUGAGACAGUUCGGUCCCUAUCCGUCGCGGGCGUAGGAAAUUUGAGAGGAUCUGCUCCUAGUACGAGAGGACCAGAGUGGACUUACCGCUGGUGUACCAGUUGUCUUGCCAAAGGCAUCGCUGGGUAGCUAUGUAGGGAAGGGAUAAACGCUGAAAGCAUCUAAGUGUGAAACCCACCUCAAGAUGAGAUUUCCCAUGAUUAUAUAUCAGUAAGAGCCCUGAGAGAUGAUCAGGUAGAUAGGUUAGAAGUGGAAGUGUGGCGACACAUGUAGCGGACUAAUACUAAUAGCUCGAGGACUUAUCCAA
Molecule: ribosomal RNA, 2637 nt
Filed under: Streptococcus pneumoniae
Lineage: Bacteria; Bacillati; Bacillota; Bacilli; Lactobacillales; Streptococcaceae
Description: bacterial LSU rRNA
Rfam family: Bacterial large subunit ribosomal RNA
Source: RNAcentral